This is a non-coding RNA of Heteronotia binoei (common prickly gecko), 183 nucleotides long. RefSeq annotates it as small Cajal body-specific RNA 16. The transcript has a single exon. The record is from RefSeq and is a predicted model, not a curated record. NCBI's taxonomy places the organism in Eukaryota, Metazoa, Chordata, Lepidosauria, Squamata, Gekkonidae.
UGGGGCCGGGAAAUGGUUGCUGUGGGGCGGGGCCUGCCAGGGCUCAGCCCAGUGACAGCCAGCCUGACCCUGCCCUAGAUAAAUGACUGGGCAGACUCCUCCAUGGGGGAGAUGCCCUGUGCGGUAGCAGGUGUGAGCAUUCUGCCAGUGUUCUGAUGGUCAUGUAUGAUACUGCACACAGGC